This 406-nucleotide ribosomal RNA is filed under the name uncultured bacterium. RNAcentral's name for it is "partial 16S ribosomal RNA". It matches the Rfam family "Bacterial small subunit ribosomal RNA", at positions 29 to 526 of the family's 1533-position model. The record is from RNAcentral.
AUUGACCGCUGGCGGCAGGCUUAACACAUGCAAGUCGAUCGAUCGGCGGACGGGUGCGUAAUGUCUGGGAAACUGCCUGAUGGAGGGGGAUAACUACUGGCAACGGUAGCUAAUACCGCAUACCAUCCGAUGUACCCAGGUGGGCUUAGCGAGUAGGUGGGGUAAUGGCUCACCUAGGCGACGAUCCCUAGCUGGUCUGCGAGGAUGACCAGCCACACUGGAACUGAGACACGGGCCAGACGCCUACGGGAGGCAGCAGUGGGGAAUAUUGCACAAGGGGCGCAAGCCUGAUGCAGCCAUGCCGCGUGUGUGAAGAAGGCCUUCGGGUUGUAAAGCAAUUGCAGCGAGGAGGCGGUACUCGCAGAAGAAGCACCGGCUAACUCCGUGCCAGCCGCCGCGGUAAUAC